UUAAUCAUUAAUUCAGGUACGCUAAACCAACAGCUGCUGUUAAAACAACUAGUGUCUUAAAUCAAUUAGAAUGUCUACUUCAUUUCCAUCUAAUUUAUAAUAGUUGAGAUAAAUUUGCUUUAUUUUUUUCCCGCAAUAUCAGAUCUUAUACAUACACCAAGGUGCCUCUUUAAACAGCAUGAAAGAUCCAAAAAAAAAUUCUGAAAUGGAUGGAAUUACUUCUAAAAGCUCCUGACUGACUAACUGGCAUAAUUAUGGGUUAAGUAGGGAGCCAGUGGCCAUAUUUAGUACAGGUACACCUUGUUAAGUCAUGUUUCGGCUUUACUGGCAUCAAUUUUGUCAAUUUGACAAUUGUCAAAUAAAAAAGUCAGUUUUGAUUUGACUGUUUUUGGAAGGGAUCAUCAGUGCAGACAAUUCCAGACGAUGAUUUCUUCAUCUGGAGUGAGUUCGGGAUAUUUUUCUUCCUCCUUGGGUUGCCACACAUCAACAAUGAGGGCUGCGCCUGCCAUGCAUGUGUAUAAAUUCUGCCCCAAUAUGAACUGGCAGGAAGGAUCUGAAGAAGAAGGUCACAUCCAAAAACUAAGACUUGGCUACAGUGGCGUCCUCAUGAAGUCAUCAUCUCUGACGUGCAGCAGCCCGAGGAGGAAGAGAGAGAUCCGGACCCUACUCUAGAUGAAGAAAUCAUCACCAUCCAGUAAUGAAUCACACUUCAAAUGGUUGAAACUUUUGUAAAAUGGGAAGGUAAGCUGUUUUAACGUUUUUUGGGGGGUGCAAGCAACCUCAUUAACCUGCAGUUUCAGAUAACCCGCGGCCUGAUUUUGUGGACCCCAACUUGCACGUGUUAACGGGGUUCACCUGUAUUUUUAAGAGUCUACCUGUAGAACCAGUGCCUGAAUGUGUUUAGGAGCAGAGAUUAUAUAACGGCUGAGUGGAUCCUUGUCAUUUGAUUGGUGCUUUGUAUGUCACAUGACAUGGAUUAAUUUAUCCCAUUUGUGUUGCAUUGCAUUUAGAGUGCAGCUUGGUUCCAUACGU
This is a long non-coding RNA of Thalassophryne amazonica, 1032 nucleotides long. RefSeq lists it as uncharacterized. The transcript has 3 exons. NCBI's taxonomy places the organism in Eukaryota, Metazoa, Chordata, Actinopteri, Batrachoidiformes, Batrachoididae. The record is from RefSeq and is a predicted model, not a curated record.